RNAcentral lists this ribosomal RNA (623 nucleotides) under Memnoniella longistipitata. RNAcentral describes it as "eukaryotic LSU rRNA". It matches the Rfam family "Eukaryotic large subunit ribosomal RNA", at positions 1 to 654 of the family's 3401-position model. Lineage: Eukaryota; Fungi; Ascomycota; Sordariomycetes; Hypocreales; Stachybotryaceae. The record is from RNAcentral.
UGACCUCGGAUCAGGUAGGAAUACCCGCUGAACUUAAGCAUAUCAAUAAGCGGAGGAAAAGAAACCAACAGGGAUUGCCUCAGUAACGGCGAGUGAAGCGGCAACAGCUCAAAUUUGAAAUCUGGCCCCAGGCCCGAGUUGUAAUUUGCAGAGGAUGCUUUUGGCGCGGUGCCUUCCGAGUUCCCUGGAACGGGACGCCAUAGAGGGUGAGAGCCCCGUCUGGUUGGAUACCAAGCCUUUGUAAAGCUCCUUCGACGAGUCGAGUAGUUUGGGAAUGCUGCUCAAAAUGGGAGGUAUAUGUCUUCUAAAGCUAAAUACCGGCCAGAGACCGAUAGCGCACAAGUAGAGUGAUCGAAAGAUGAAAAGCACUUUGAAAAGAGAGUUAAAUAGCACGUGAAAUUGUUAAAAGGGAAGCGUUUAUGACCAGACUUGGGCCGGUUAAUCAUCCAGCGUUCUCGCUGGUGCACUUUGCCGGUCCAGGCCAGCAUCAGUUCGUCGCGGGGGAUAAAGGCGUCGGGAAUGUGGCUCCUCGGAGUGUUAUAGCCCUUCGUGCAAUACCCUGCGGUGGACUGAGGUUCGCGCUCUGCAAGGAUGCUGGCGUAAUGGUCAUCAACGACCCGUCU